AUGAGUUUGUUUCAGGCACAAAAUACAGUUAGAACGUGUACACGUCAGAAAAAGAAAGGCAGAGCUUUCUUUAUAACCUUGCCGAUAGAAUUUCUAACAUUAUGCAUGUGGCAUCUUGGCAAGAUAUGUAAUCCUGGAAGCAUGGAAGUUUUCUAUUUAGUUUGUUUAUUUCUGCUGCCACCUAUUUUAUCAAAAUAUUUGCAUUUUAUAAAGAUUACUGCUUCACUACUAGUACUUGUCAUCAUAAUGCAAACUAAAGGUAUCUGUUCUGAACUCAAUUACCAGCAUUGGCAGCUGAACAAAGUUCUCCUUUUCUGUGUGAACUAG
This 327-nucleotide ribosomal RNA is filed under the name Triticum aestivum (bread wheat). RNAcentral's name for it is "partial small subunit ribosomal RNA". Lineage: Eukaryota; Viridiplantae; Streptophyta; Magnoliopsida; Poales; Poaceae. The record is from RNAcentral.